This 301-nucleotide ribosomal RNA is filed under the name uncultured bacterium. Its description in RNAcentral is "partial 16S ribosomal RNA". It matches the Rfam family "Bacterial small subunit ribosomal RNA", at positions 509 to 807 of the family's 1533-position model. The record is from RNAcentral.
CAGUCGCCACGGGAAUACGUAGGUGGCAAGCGUUGUCCGGAACUAUUGGGCGUAAAGGGCUCGCAGGCGGUUUCUUAAGUCUGAUGUGAAAGCCCCCGGCUCAACCGGGGAGGGUCAUUGGAAACUGGGAAACUUGAGUGCAGAAGAGGAGAGUGGAAUUCCACGUGUAGCGGUGAAAUGCGUAGAGAUGUGGAGGAACACCAGUGGCGAAGGCGACUCUCUGGUCUGUAACUGACGCUGAGGAGCGAAAGCGUGGGGAGCGAACAGGAUUAGAUACCCCCGUAGUCCCUGUCUCUUAUAC